This 1153-nucleotide long non-coding RNA is filed under the name Marmota monax (woodchuck). The record is from RNAcentral. Lineage: Eukaryota; Metazoa; Chordata; Mammalia; Rodentia; Sciuridae.
CUUCUAUAUGGUUAUUCAUAGUUGUCUACUUUCUAGCAAUUGCUGAAAAUGUUAAAAUUUUCAACUUUAUGCUUUGGUCUGCUUGUUCCUUUAUUUUUAUUUUUUAUUUUAAAAUUCUGUUAUUAAAUUCUGUUAUUUUUUUAUUUUGAAAUUCUGUUAUUUCUUUUUAUCCUCUUUUUUAUUAAGGGCACACAUAGGGUUAUGUUUUGAUAAGUUGAUCCAUUUAUCAUCAUAAAAUCUUUAUGAUGAUACUCAUUUUGAAGUCACUAAUGAUUUAUGUACUCCCAUCUGUUUUGUAUUGUUUUCAAAUGUAUCUUUUCCCAUCCUUUUAUUUUCUGUCUGCCUCUAUCUUUAUAUUUAAAGUGUGUUUCUUACAAAUAGCAUAUAACUUGAAUCUUGCUUCUUAUCCAUUGUGAAAAUCUACAUUUUACUUGGGGUAUUUAGCACAUUUCUAAUUAAUGCGAUUAUAGAUAAGCUUGGGUUCAAUUCUUCCCUCUUGAUAUCUGCUUUUUAUUUAUCUGAUCCAUUCUUUUUCUUCUCUUCUUUUCCAGACUAAAUAAUGAGUGAAUCCUACUUUAAUGUCCUGUUUUAUCUUUCAUAUUGAAAUUUUUGUUAUAAUUUUAUCUGUUUUUGAAUGGACAAACUAUUUGUCUUUAUCACAUCUACCUUCAACUAAUAUCCUAAUGUUUCACACAUAGUAGUAUUCCAUUCCACGUUAUGUGCUUUUUUUUAAUAAUUUCCUUCUAUUCAUGCUACUAACUCCAUAGUACUUAUAUUUUUCUUUAUUUUAAACAGGCAAUAUUAUUUUAAAUACAUUUAAAAUAUUACAUAUAUUUAUAUGGAUAGAGAAUUUUUUUUACCAAAAAAAAAAAAUUAUUUGCAUUUACCCAGGUAUUUGCGCUUUCUAAUGUUCUUUGUUUUUUUCCUCCUCAGAUCUCUAUUUCGAUGUAGUAUAAUUUCCAGUUUGCCUAAAGAACUUCUAUUAGCAUUUCUUCUAAUAUAAUAAUGAUGGAGAAAAAUUCAGCUAUUCUUUCUCUGAAAAUGUCAUUGUUUCUCCUUUAUUUUCGAAUGACUGUUUCACUGAAGUAAAAUACUAAAUUGAUGUUUUUGUUUUUUUAUUUUUCAGCACUUUAACCAUGUUGUUCAUUGUGUC